UCCCUGGUAGCUCAAACGGUAAAGAAUCUGCCUGCAAUGCAGGAGACCUGGGUUUGAUCCCUGGAUUGGGAA
This 72-nucleotide transfer RNA is filed under the name Bos taurus (domestic cattle). It matches the Rfam family "tRNA". Rfam says of the family: Transfer RNA (tRNA) molecules are approximately 80 nucleotides in length. Their secondary structure includes four short double-helical elements and three loops (D, anti-codon, and T loops). Further hydrogen bonds mediate the characteristic L-shaped molecular structure. tRNAs have two regions of fundamental functional importance: the anti-codon, which is responsible for specific mRNA codon recognition, and the 3' end, to which the tRNAs corresponding amino acid is attached (by aminoacyl-tRNA synthetases). tRNAs cope with the degeneracy of the genetic code in two manners: having more than one tRNA (with a specific anti-codon) for a particular amino acid; and 'wobble' base-pairing, i.e. permitting non-standard base-pairing at the 3rd anti-codon position. RNAcentral also lists the same sequence under 1 other name. Lineage: Eukaryota; Metazoa; Chordata; Mammalia; Artiodactyla; Bovidae. The record is from Rfam by way of RNAcentral.